Molecule: long non-coding RNA, 811 nt
Organism: Conger conger (European conger)
Lineage: Eukaryota; Metazoa; Chordata; Actinopteri; Anguilliformes; Congridae
Exons: 4
Source: RefSeq, a predicted model, not a curated record
UCCCCUCUCGCUCUUUCUCUCGCUCUCUCUCUCUCAUACUCACACAUCAUGUGGUUGGAAUAUGCUCUCGCCUAACUCAGAUAGUAACUGAAGCACGCGUAAUGAGCUGGGUAUUAGCGGCAAUUUUAAACGGAAGAGUGGCGAGUGAUGGCUGGAUAUUGUGGGAAGCUCUAGAAAGAGCAGCGCAUAUGCUCGAAGGGCCUCUGUUUUGGGAUGAUUUCUGACUGCUCAAGACAGCUGCUGUAUAAACUGGCGACAUUUAAAUGAUAGGGGCAGAAGAUGACCAGAGUUUACCCCGUGGAGGAGAGCAGGGCGCUGACCUGUGUGAAAUGUAUCCUGAAGCACACAAUACCUGAGGAAAGAGGAGACGGAGGAGAGAACGCAGCUGAGGGCUGAACUUGCGGGGAAGGAGGACAUGGCCGUUCGUUAAGAUGCCGGUCCCCCGGAGGCACGAGGGCACAAAGGAAAGGGAUGUGACGGAUGACAGCAUUGUUCUCCUGAAGAAAAGUGAGAGUCAGGUUCACGCCGCCCCACCCCCUUAACUCAGUGUAACGAGCUCUGUCUGUAACUUCUCAUCAUCUUUCACCAGAUUAAACUGAUCACGUGACACCUGAGUUAGUCUCCCUCUCUCAGUAAGAAAUGCGAUAAAUUAUUAUUCACCAUUUACACUUUUCACGGGUCUGUGUAUGUUUCUGCCCUUAUAGUUGGUAUAUCAAUGAUUGUGUUGUGAAUUUUAAGUGCUUAUUUUUGUAUCUUAUUUUUUAUGAAUGGAUGAUUAUUUCAAUAAAAUAUAUUUUUGUUACCAAAAUGA